AGUGAACGCUGGCGGCAGGCCUAACACAUGCAAGUCGAACGGCAGCACAGGGGAGCUUGCUCCCUGGGUGGCGAGUGGCGGACGGGUGAGGAACACAUCGGAAUCUGCCUAUUUGUGGGGGAUAACCUCGGGAAACCGGGACUAAUACCGCAUACGACCUACGGGUGAAAGCCGGGGACCUUCGGGCCUGGCGCAGAUAGAUGAGCCGAUGUCGGAUUAGCUAGUUGGAGGGGUAAAGGCCCACCAAGGCGACGAUCCGUAGCUGGUCUGAGAGGAUGAUCAGCCACCCUGGGACUGAGACACGGGCCAGACUCCUACGGGAGGCAGCAGUGGGGAAUAUUGGACAAUGGGCGAAAGCCUGAUCCAGCCAUGCCGCGUGAGUGAAGAAGGCCCUCGGGUUGUAAAGCUCUUUUGUUGGGAAAGAAAAGCCAUGGGUUAAUACCCUGUGGUUCUGACGGUACCCAAAGAAUAAGCACCGGCUAACUUCGUGCCAGCCGCCGCCGUAA
This 506-nucleotide ribosomal RNA is filed under the name uncultured bacterium. Its description in RNAcentral is "partial 16S ribosomal RNA". It matches the Rfam family "Bacterial small subunit ribosomal RNA", at positions 29 to 523 of the family's 1533-position model. The record is from RNAcentral.